Non-coding RNA from Hypoxylon sp. FL0543, 76 nucleotides. The record is from the annotation of a GenBank genome assembly. NCBI's taxonomy places the organism in Eukaryota, Fungi, Ascomycota, Sordariomycetes, Xylariales, Hypoxylaceae.
GGGCAGUUGGUCUAGUGGUAAGACGCGCCUGUAAUAACCAAGAUUGCAAGGCUUCGGGUUCGAGUCCCACUGUGCG